GAUCCACUAUAGAUGCCGCUGUCUCUUUCUUCUCCAGCCCUGAUACCUAUCGGCUCUCUCCAAAACCGCCCAUAACACCACACUACCGUUUCCAGGAUUACUCCGCCGAAACGGGAGUGCCAAGCAGGCGAGCUUUUUUAAUUAAGGGGCCCCAAACGUAGGCCAUCGCCCACACCCUGAGAUUGAGAGUCUCUGGCUCCAUCGACUGAGAUGCCUGGGCUACUGCUUCAGAUCCUUUGAGUGAAACACCCCAAUACGUGAGCCUUGCAACGUCUCCAGCUCGUACAGACUGUUGCCCAUACUCCGGAUCACUCGGCACUUGACGUAUUUUGGGCUGAACUUUGCGUUGAUGUUGUUUUUAAAUUUGCUCAACACGAAAUUCCGCUUAUAUAUUUCCUGACCCGGCUUCAUGAGAGUUUCCUCGGACCUCAUCUCGGACUAUUUCCAUCUUGUCACUCCUCGCCAAGGGGGACAUUUGUGCAUCAUUUAGGGCGCCCAGUCUGCGUGCCAAUUUAUAAUCUCGGCCGCUAUAAACAUGUGCUGCCCAAACAACACAAAGUGUCACAAUCAGCCACAUAUGCCUUCACCUGCACGGUCAUCCGGGGCCAAUAAUAG
This is a long non-coding RNA of Drosophila miranda, 615 nucleotides long. RefSeq lists it as uncharacterized. The transcript has 3 exons. Lineage: Eukaryota; Metazoa; Arthropoda; Insecta; Diptera; Drosophilidae. The record is from RefSeq and is a predicted model, not a curated record.